CACCGCGGUUAUACGAGAGGCCCAAGUUGAUAGCCCCCGGCGUAAAGAGUGGUUAAAUUAACUGUAAACUAGAGCCGAAUAUCUUCAAAGCCGUCAUACGCACAUUGAAGACAAGAAGCCCACUAACGAAAGUGGCUUUAAAUACUAUUGAACCCACGAAAGCUAGGAUA
This 170-nucleotide ribosomal RNA is filed under the name Glossogobius circumspectus (circumspect goby). RNAcentral's name for it is "partial 12S rRNA". Lineage: Eukaryota; Metazoa; Chordata; Actinopteri; Gobiiformes; Gobiidae. The record is from RNAcentral.